Long non-coding RNA from Micropterus salmoides (largemouth bass), 4008 nucleotides. RefSeq lists it as uncharacterized. NCBI's taxonomy places the organism in Eukaryota, Metazoa, Chordata, Actinopteri, Centrarchiformes, Centrarchidae. The transcript has 3 exons. The record is from RefSeq and is a predicted model, not a curated record.
UGUUUAAUACGUACACAAACCACUUUCUAGAAAGAACAAGUUGUGAUUUAAGAGGGAGUAGAAUUCUGCAGUUAUUUCUAGACCAAAAGCAUUUUUAUCUCUUUUAUUAGCUAGUAUUUCAGUGCAGUGUGUCUCUAUGAGCUAUGCCCUGGCAACCUCACGUGACACACUCAGAAAAUGUGUCUGUUGUUAAGAAAUACAGCAUGUAACUACUGCCAAAAACACAUUAAUUUUUUAAUUUCUGUUUGUGUACAGAUAAAAUAAACAAGAUACAAUGUGUUAAUUAGUGAGCUAUAGGUAAAGAGUAUUCUUUAAUUCUGGACAGAACCAGGCCAGCUGGUUUCUCCAAGUGUCAGUCCUCUGUGCUCAUGCAUUAUUCCCGCGAUAAUUUCUUGUAGUCACAUCAAAAUAAGGCAAAAUUAGCAACUUUUACUGUGUUAUAAAUUUGAAGUGGUUUGUUACCAAGCGAAACCAGGUACAAGUACAGCUUUAAUAGUUCCACAAUUUGGAAAAUACAACUUUCUUGCAGAGAGUUAGCAGAGCCAGGCUAGGUGUUUCCCCAUUUUGAGAUAAUCACCUGCUCAUGGUAUCUUCAUAUUCAUCAUAGAGACAUGCAAGCAAAUAAGUGUACUUCCCAAAAUGUCAAAUUAUUCCUUUAAAUUGAAUUUGUGUUAAUAUUGGAUUUUAUUUAGCGGUGACUUUCAGUAAUGGUGGUUUAUUUUUUAUAGCCAUUUUGUCACCAGUUAGUAGUUCUUUUCACCAAAUGAGAGUUACAGCUGUCAAAAAUUCCCACGAUCUUCAACGUAGAAUUAGGAGGCUGAUGUGAACGGUGGCUGCAAAUGAUGACCUGAGCGAGCGAUAUGACGUGAAAGUGGCCUAAGCUAAGUUAAUCAUCUCCUGGCUCCAGCUCCAUACUUAAAUCACAGACAUGAGAGUGAUUUUCCCAUCUAAUUCUUAAAAAAGAAAGCAAAUAAGUGUAUUUUCCAAAAUUUUAUACACUGGUUACUAAUGAAUUGUUCUGUUCUGAGACUGAAAAGUACUCCCUUUUGUCAUCAACAGUGUGAUAUAUAAUGUGGGUAUGAAUUUUACCAGAAAGUAGUAUUACUAAAGACUCAUGCAGGCCAAGGAAUAACCCCUCUUACUCAUAAUCAUCUGAAACCCAUCAGUAUGUAGCACAUGAUUGUUUACAGCUGCUCUAUGUCUCUGUGUGACCUUGUCCUGUUUCUGUGAAAGAAUGAAACACCUCUGUUUCUUGUCUCCUUUAGGAUGACAUCUUGGGACAUUGAUGCACUGUGUAAUCAGCCUUCAGUGUGUUUGCAUUUAAUGUGAUGCAUAAGAGUUCUGAUGGUAUGUCCAGUCUUGCAUAUUUUGCCUACACAUGGCUUUAAGAAAUAACAUGUGCUGGCUUAAAUCUGAGGAGGAAGACAAUGAGAAGAUCCAGGCCAGCUGAUGUUGGAGUAUUAGGGAGUUAGUGUAAUUUGCUCAGACACUCUUGUCUUUUUUUAUACUAUUUCUGAACUUUUUUCUUCCACUACAUAUUGAGCAAACUUACAUCUGACUGAAUUCCCUCUUCUUCUUUUGUACCUUUCUUUGCCUUUUCAAUUCAUCCAUCAGGAGCAUAGUGGGAAAUCCAAAAUGGCGCAAGAACGAGUGUGUCAUUUUCAAACUGCCCGCUAACUCUGAACAUCUGGUCCUAGAGGGAGGAGGGUGACCCUGUCAAUGGGAGCCCUUGUCUCCCCUGUCAACAGCAUGAGAACAGCCCACCACAAGCCUUAGUCCGCCACUGCAAGACACACAAUACCAGAAUGAUGGAACCUUUCCCCAGCACUGACACAGCACUACAACAAAAUAUAGACACAGACAGCUGCUGACUGGAACACAGAGGAGCUUUCAUUCUUAAAAAAAGAGAAGACCCAUUUAGGGUUUGCAGUUUGACUUUUAUUCACUGCUUUCAUCACCUUAAAAAAGUGAAGAACAACUCUUAUCACAUUAGCAUCACAAUGUUCUGUCAGCUGAACAUAUCCAGGAGGCAAUGGGUUUUGGCAGCAGUCCUGUGGGCGUUCAUCAGCUGAAUCAUUUUCAGACAUCAAGUCAGUCAAACGAUUUGACAUAUGAGAAUGUAGAGGAAAAUAAAGCCCCCCAGCACUGUGCUAAGAAACCACAAGGCUUUUACUCAUCAUUAUGCCAGUAAAGAUACCAGAUUUUCCCAAACGUUGAACAAUUUCUGACUCUCACAUCCUCCUCCUCUUCUUCUCGGGUGUCUUCCACUCCUUUAUUCUGUAUCUGUUGGUGUCAAACAGUCCUUGAAUUUCCUCUUGCUGCCCCUUCAGAUGUGAGCUUUGGUGUGGGUGGUUGAGACACGUCUCUUUCUCUUUGUGUGUGCUGUAAAUAUUUUCUUCAAUCACAGAGUCCAACCUCUGUCUAAUCUCUAAGACACACAUCAAAGCACAGGAUGAAGCAGAUGGGUUAAGAGUGAGUGCACGUCUCUUCCAUUAAGGAUUGUGUUUGUAGUAAGAAGGACUUUAUUACUUAAUUUCUACAAUUCAUAGAUACAAAUAAACAAACAAGGAUUACAUUAUAUUGCAUAACAUUUGUGUAAAUGUACACAAUACAGGACUGUGACUUUUGAAAGAUGAAAUAACACAGUUUGUUGCUCGUAGAAAUUAAAAAAGCUAAAUUCAUAAGCUACAAAACACAUUUUUCCUAAAUUUAAUAGAAGGGUUAUACCACAACACCAUUGCUUUGGCUAGGUCAUUAGGUCACCUAAUGGCGAUGUCUUUAAAGCAACUGAAGGGAAAUACAACGUGCCAUUAUCCUGUAAUUACCACUUGGGACCACAGUGGCCUCUGUUCAGCAAAAGUUAACAAAGCCUACACGUGAUUUUUCAUGUUUCAGCCCAUUUACGUCAAGCUACAUAAAUGUACUGGAUUAAACUAAAUUGCAGAUCUCUGCUGCAGUCAAAUUUCGUGUAUGUGUAUUUGCCCAGUAAAAUAUUGUAUUUCAGGUUUUUUUUUUAAAGGAAACUGUAGUUUAUUUUGAUUCAGUCCAACAUACCCCAUCCUAAUGCUGUAUGAUAACACUGUUUACUAAAAUACAAUGCUGAGAUGUAAUUACUAGACCUUUUUGGAUAAAUUCAACUAUAGAGUAUGUACCUGUUAAAAUGUUCAGAUUUACACAUUUAAAAGAGACAUACUAAUAUGUUGAUGUUUUUUGUCUUUUCAUGGGGUUUGUUGACAAUAAGAAAUAUAAUAAAAACAAAUACUGGCAGCUUUAUUUUUAUUUUCCAAUACAUGUGGUUACAUUACCAUUCAAUAACAUAAUAUUGUUAACAAAAAUAUAUACACUCUUGAAUGAAUGAUAAAUUUCAUUUGCUGACUGAUUGGCAUCUACUUUUUUGUAUGAUACAGACGUUAAUUUGAAAAACAAUCAGCAGUAAUUGGAAGUAUACAUGAAUUGUUGGUAAGAAGAUAAAACAUGGUAUAUUCCUUUAAUUCAAAGCCUUCCAAGUGUUUCAGUCUUUGAUUUUUUUAAUCCGUUGUUUUGUACUUUUAUUUUCACCUGUUCACCCAAACUAGUACGUUUAGGCCAUGUGCACUGAAAACCACGCCACACAUUCUUUGACUUUGUUGCACGAGAGAAAAAAAGAAUUGAAACUGAGAACACCAACAACAGUCAUAAGAGAUCUUUUUUUUAACCUACUGUUUCUGUUUCUCUCUGAGCCACCAUUCUUCCCACACAAAGCCAAAUAGAGCCGGAGGUAGUCAUUAUAGGCUUCCCAGGGUAAUGCUUGACUGACUGCUCAAGUCUAUUCUCGCUCAGUCAGGGUGAAGUGGGUGCACAGUGGUUCUUAGAGUAGACUCUGGGUGACAAACAUUCAUAUAGGGUGUAAUUCUUGUGGUUGUGUUUUCAAGCCCAAUGAGGCAUGGGUGGAGUGCCACUUACUAAAACAAAACCAGGAUUUCCCAAGUGGUGCCAGGCACCCAUGGAGAAGAAACAAGUCUGGUCCAA